AGAAUCACUAUUAUAAUUGACCUUUUCUGUGCUAUCACGGUUCUCAGUGCAUGUGUAUCCCAGGUCAUAGACCAUUAUGCUCACUUGGUUUUCUCUUCGCAUAUAAUCAAUUUAAACCACAUGUGACUUAGCAUCCUCCAAUAUCACUUUGUUUGCUUUUUCUCUCAGAUAAAUCAUAAAAUGUUGAACUACAUUGAAGUUCUCAUCCAGUGAAUCAAAUACACAAAACAAUAAUUUAUGGAAUCUCAAACA
This 252-nucleotide unclassified non-coding RNA is filed under the name Hevea brasiliensis (rubber tree). The record is from RNAcentral. Lineage: Eukaryota; Viridiplantae; Streptophyta; Magnoliopsida; Malpighiales; Euphorbiaceae.